This is a non-coding RNA of Tinamus guttatus (white-throated tinamou), 184 nucleotides long. The record is from RefSeq and is a predicted model, not a curated record. NCBI's taxonomy places the organism in Eukaryota, Metazoa, Chordata, Aves, Tinamiformes, Tinamidae.
UAAGAAAGCAGAGGUACACCUCUUAAUAAUUAACAGUGAAAGAGAUCUUUUAAGGGGGUGGUGGAUGAUCAUAUUGAAUAAUUCAGUGCUAUAGCAAAAGGAACAAUGUUACGGUAACUUUAUAGGUGAGUAUUUGCAACAGAAUCCAACAAAAACACUUGAUAUGCGGACAGCCUCAUGUGUU